Molecule: long non-coding RNA, 1098 nt
Filed under: Lathyrus oleraceus (garden pea)
Lineage: Eukaryota; Viridiplantae; Streptophyta; Magnoliopsida; Fabales; Fabaceae
Description: Pisum sativum (pea) long non-coding RNA (PSAT_LNC011149)
Source: RNAcentral
GAAAAGGAGGAAAUAAAUUGAAAAUAUAAACAAACAUUUAUUAACUAAAUACCUAGGAAAAUUAAAUGGAUUUUAAUAGUUUUUUUUAAAUGGAUUAUUCUAUCUAAAAUAAAUUAGAGAAAAAAAUUGAAAAAAAGAAAAGAAAACAGACUUCAUCGUCUAGCUCUCUCGCUCUUCUUCUCCCAAUCUCACUCACAAUCUUACCCUCGCGUCUGAGUUUCAUAUUCAACCAGAACUUAAAGCAAUACACACAAAACCUAACAACAUUGAGAUAACACACGGUUAAUUAGGCAUAAUUAAAACCAAUCCUUCCUUCAACAGUUGUUAAAUUGUAUAUGGAAGCAUCCUGAUGCGUCGAAAGUGUAUUUUACCUGUGAUAUCCCUGGGUCAGAAGACAUCCUUAUUCAAGUAUCCCAAACCUUUUGGAGCAAAGAUAUAUGUUUGAAUAAANAUAUGAGUAUUGAACCCACUCCACUUGAGACUAUGGAAACCACCCCUCUCCACCAGGCCACUUAUGACUAGUUGUUACUUUGAUGUUAGAUUGGAUAAAUAAACUAAAGUGGAUUAAAAUUAGAAUUAAACUAAAAAAAAACUAACAAAAAACUGUUAGACUAACCUAAUUAAACCUAGCCGUUCGGCUGUUGGGUUUACAAUGGGAAAGUGAAUUGAAAAGGAGGAAAUAAAUUGAAAAUAUAAACAAACAUUUAUUAACUAAAUACCUAGGAAAAUUAAAUGGAUUUUAAUAGUUUUUUUAAAAUGGAUUAUUCUAUCUAAAAUAAAUUAGAGAAAAAAAUUGAAAAAAAGAAAACAGAACAGACUUCAUCGUCUAGCUCUCUCGCUCUUCUUCUCCCAAUCUCACUCACAAUCUUACCCUCGCGUCUCUCACAAUCUCGCGAGUUCUCAACCUCACUCACAAAAUCGUUCUCUCCAACUCACGUCUCUCUCAUCAUAAUCCUCCCUCAAACACGCGUUUCUCCUAAUCGCUUCCGAAUCGUACAAAAAAUCAAAGGCUGAAGCAAAAGAGAGCUCACCUCCGGCGGUGACCACGACAACGAUGAAGCUCACAGGUUUGUCCUUGAUUUGGUGAUUAGGGUUUCU